GAUGAACGCUGGCGGCGUGCCUAAUACAUGCCAGUCGAGCGAACAGAUAAGGAGCUUGCUCCUUUGACGUUAGCGGCGGACGGGUGAGUAACACGUGGGUAACCUACCUAUAAGACUGGAAUAACUCCGGGAAACCGGGGCUAAUGCCGGAUAACAUUUAGAACCGCAUGGUUCUAAAGUGAAAGAUGGUUUUACUAUCACUUAUAGAUGGACCCGCGCCGUAUUAGCUAGUUGGUAAGGUAACGGCUUACCAAGGCAACGAUACGUAGCCGACCUGAGAGGGUGAUCGGCCACACUGGAACUGAGACACGUUCCAGACUCCUACGGGAGGCAGCAGUAGGGAAUCUUCCGCAAUGGGCGAAAGCCUGACGGAGCAACGCCGCGUGAGUGAUGAAGGUCUUCGGAUCGUAAAACUCUGUUAUUAGGGAAGAACAAAUGUGUAAGUAACUGUGCACGUCUUGACGGUACCUAAUCAGAAAGCCACGGCUAACUACGUG
Molecule: ribosomal RNA, 497 nt
Filed under: uncultured bacterium
Lineage: Bacteria
Description: partial 16S ribosomal RNA
Rfam family: Bacterial small subunit ribosomal RNA
Source: RNAcentral